AGAGUUUGAUCAUGGCUCAGAAUCAACGCUGGCGGCGCGCUUAACACAUGCAAGUCGAACGAGAAAGGGUAGCAAUACCUGAGUAAAGUGGCGUACUGGUGAGUAACACGUGGGUAAUCUACUCUUUAGUGGGGAAUAACCCUGGGAAACUAGGGCUAAUACCGCAUAAGCCUGUAAAGGGAAAGCAGUAAUGCGCUGAAGAAGGAGCCCGCGGCCGAUUAGCUAGUUGGUGGGGUAAAGGCCCACCAAGGCGACGAUCGGUAGCCGGCCUGAGAGGGCACACGGCCACACUGGCACUGAAACACGGGCCAGACUCCUACGGGAGGCAGCAGUGGGGAAUCUUGCACAAUGGAGGAAACUCUGAUGCAGCGACGCCGCGUGAGCGAUGAAGCCCUUCGGGGUGUAAAGCUCUUUCGACGGGAACGAUAAUGACGGUACCCGGAGAAGAAGCUGCGGCUAACUACGUGCCAGCAGCCGCGGUAAUACGUAGGCAGCAAGCGUUGUUCGGAAUUACUGGGCGUAAAGAGUGUGUAGGCGGUGCUCUAAGUUCGGUGUGAAAUCUCCUGGCUUAACUGGGAGGGUGCGCCGGAAACUGGAGUGCUCGAGCGUGGGAGAGGAAAGCGGAAUUCCUGGUGUAGCGGUGAAAUGCGUAGAUAUCAGGAGGAACACCUGUGGUGUAGACAGCUUUCUGGACCAUUGCUGACGCUGAGACACGAAAGCGUGGGUAGCAAACAGGAUUAGAUACCCUAGUAGUCC
This 756-nucleotide ribosomal RNA is filed under the name uncultured bacterium. RNAcentral's name for it is "bacterial SSU rRNA". It matches the Rfam family "Bacterial small subunit ribosomal RNA", at positions 8 to 796 of the family's 1533-position model. The record is from RNAcentral.